Molecule: non-coding RNA, 1671 nt
Organism: Sturnus vulgaris (Common starling)
Lineage: Eukaryota; Metazoa; Chordata; Aves; Passeriformes; Sturnidae
Source: RefSeq, a predicted model, not a curated record
ACCUCAACAGCCCUUGAUAUGGAGUUUACUGGUUUGCAUUCAACUUCCCUACAAAACAACGAGCCCAGCCUGUUUGACUCCCCUGCAGAGCGAUAUGUGAAGGCCAGGCAGAGUGUUCAGCGUUUCACUCUUGUCCAGCUUGGGCUGGCAAUAUUCUCAAAAGAAAAUUCAAACAAGUAUGUGGUGCAUUCAUACAACUUUUUUCUCUUUCCCUCAACACUGGGAAUAAGGGAUGUCGAAUUCACCUUCUCUGCAUCUAGUAUUCAGUUCCUGUCUCAUUAUGGCUUUGACUUCAACAAGUUCCUCAAAGAUGGAAUCCCAUACAUGAAUGAGGUACAGGAGAAGAUCCUUAAGCAGCACCUCUUAGCAGGUACCUGGAAAGUCUGCAGCACUAGUUGUGCAGACAGGGAUGUCCUGAAGAAAGCUAUUGAUGAAGUGACCUCUUGGAUAACUGCAGCAAAAGAAGAAGAUACUAUGAUUCUGCAGGAUCUGAAUGGCUAUCAUAUGCUUGAAGUUCAGCUGGUUCUGAGGCAGGCUCUUGAAAAUGUUUGGACAGAGCCUCUUGGAGACAAGAAGGUAAUGGUGAAAAAAGUGAGUCCAGAGCAACGUCAGCUUCUGGAGAACUCUUCUUAUGACCACUGUCAGAAAAAGCUCAUUCUCCUGUCUGCUCGGGGCUUUACCAACCUCUUCCAGAUACUUGUUAAAGCCAAGAAGCCCCUGGUGGGACACAACAUGCUUAUGGACCUUAUGCAUCUUCACGACAAGUUCUACAGGCCCCUCCCAGAAAGCUAUGAGGAGUUUAAAAGGAACAUUCACAACCUGUUUCCUGUCAUCAUAGACACCAAGACUGUAACAAAAUCCGUGCAGAAGAAAUGUCUGUUUCCUCGAGUAUCUAGUCUUUUGGAGGUGUAUGCAGUUUUGUGCAGCAGCAACCUAAAUCCCAAAGAUCCACCGUGCCCUGUUAUAGCUCUUGCAAGUGGCUGCUCAAGAUACGCUGAGAAGAAAUCUCCUCAUGAGGCAGGCUAUGAUGCAUUUCUCUGUGGUUCAGUUCUUCUGAUGUCAGCUCAUUUGCUACUGUGCAGAUCCACAGAUGGUGCAGUGGACACUGAGCCUUCUUUCUCGCAGUAUCUCACCGUGUUAGCUGAGCACGUGAACAAAGUGAAUUUCAUCCGAGGUGGUGUUUCAAGCAUUGUGCGUAUGAAUUGCAGAAUUUUUCUGGGGAAGAUGCUCCUUGCCGUCAUCCCCCUGCCUUGGUUGUUCAUGUCCGAGGCUGGCCAGUGCUGACAGAGAGACAGAUUUACCAAGAGUUUAAAGCUCGCUGUCGCUUCGAUGUUAGACGGCUUUCAAAGAACCAGUUCAUUCUGCUCACCAAUAAACACAAGCAUGUCAGGCUCGUCCUGCGGGAUUACAGGCACCACCCUCACCUGCAGGUCUCCGUCUAUCGCCACUGGAGGCACUCGCCGAGCGUGAACUGCCUGCUGCAAAUCUCUGGUAUUGUGGCACUGUGGUCUCUCUUGGCCUUUGCACUUGGAGGAGCUCGUAGCUGUUGACUUUAAAGGACUACUGUAAAGAUGAGACAUGAUGAAUGCUGAUGUUAUUUCUUGUGUUUGUCUAUUUUGUUUUGUUUCAUACAAUAAAAGAUGAGAAAAAUUAACGAAAAAAAACCCCAAA